UACGGAGGGUGCAAGCGUUAUCCGGAUUCACUGGGUUUAAAGGGUGCGUAGGUGGGCAGUUAAGUCAGUGGUGAAAUCUCCGGGCUUAACCCGGAAACUGCCAUUGAUACUAUCUGUCUUGAAUACCGUGGAGGUAAGCGGAAUAUGUCAUGUAGCGGUGAAAUGCUUAGAUAUGACAUAGAACACCAAUUGCGAAGGCAGCUUACUACACGUACUAUUGACACUCAGGAGCGAAAGCGUGGGGAGCGAUCCGG
RNAcentral lists this ribosomal RNA (254 nucleotides) under uncultured bacterium. RNAcentral's name for it is "partial 16S ribosomal RNA". It matches the Rfam family "Bacterial small subunit ribosomal RNA", at positions 524 to 776 of the family's 1533-position model. The record is from RNAcentral.